Molecule: non-coding RNA, 291 nt
Filed under: unclassified sequences
Description: RAGATH-15 RNA
Rfam family: RAGATH-15 RNA
About the family: RNA motif Associated with Genes Associated with Twister and Hammerhead ribozymes (RAGATH).
Source: Rfam by way of RNAcentral
AGGGUGGCUACCUUAUUCUUGGCUAAGGCAAACCAAGAGUAUACUUACCAGUAUACAGCCAACCACAUAUUAUACAUAAUGCACUAUGUAUAUUAUGGAUAGGACACUGGCUAACAGCUGAAGUUGGUGCAAAACUACAAUUUCCAUACGUGGAUAACGAAACGUCGAAAGAGUAGUUAGAUUUAAACGGCUGGAAACACACAAAUGUUUGAAUUCUCACAUUGGAAUCCUGGUGUUUAAGGUAUACUGAAGUGCAAAUCAGUAUUUAUUGCUCCCAUAGGAGCUGUUGGG